AAAUUAAAGAGCUAGGGAUACUGAAGUUUUUAGUCUUAAAAAUGUUUCAAAAUAGCUAUGAAGACGUAAAGGAUAAUAGAAAAUAUAAACAUCCUUUGAAAAUUGUUAUUACUGGAAAGAUAAAAAAGGGUAUAUCAUAAGUAACAGUAGUAGUAUACAGUAGUAUUGUGCAGUAGUAUCAUUUAGUAGUAUCAUUUAGUAGUAUCAUUUAGUAGUAUCAUUUAGUAGUAUCAUUUAGUAGUAUCAUUCAGUAGUAGCAUUAGUAAUAUAUCGCGAUAUCACUGUGAUAUGUUCGACAUGUGUGUGGUCUCAUAUAUAUAUAUAUAUAUAUAUAUAUAUAUUUAGUAGUAUGUGGUAAGUAUAAACUUAUAAAGAAGGAGAAAAUAAAAAAAAAUAAAAAAAAAAUUUGUUUGAACUAGACAACUAUAAGUACUUUAUUUUAUUUUUGUAUAGAAACUGAACUUAUAGCUAAGUAUUUAAAAAAAAGGUUUUGUUUAAAGUUAUAUAAUUUUAAUAAUAUACGAAAAGAGCUCCAAGUUAUGUUCAGCAAACAUGACGCCAAAGAUGGAGAAGUGGAUGCAAAAUAUAAACAUAAAAAAAAAAAAACAUUGAAUAAAUUGCAAAAUAUAUACAAAAAAAUAAAUGAACAAAAAGAAGCUAUUGAUAAGAAUAGAGAUGCUCUUUAUGUUGAUUUAUUAUACUAUCGUAUAAAAUAUGAUUAUGAUUUAUUUUAUACUAAUGCAACUAGUAAAGAACAGCACAAUGAAAAAAAAAAAAAAGCAAUUUUUGUAGAAAAGAGUAAUGAAAAAAAAAAUUGUAACUUAAAAAGAAAAAAAAGAACCCAAUACAAAGGGUAUAUUAUUAUUAAUUUUUUUUUUUCACUUAAACAGUAUAUAUUAUUUGUGUUAAAAACGAAAAAAAAAUUUAUGUUAAAUGAUAUUGUUUAUUACUAUGGCAGUAUUUUACACAGUGCAAGAUAUAGUGGUGUCAAAAAAAAAUAUAGUUCAUCAUAUGCUAUAGAUAAAAAUGACAAUAAUGAAGUAUAUAUAAAUAUUGCAAAAGAUCAAAUAUCAUGUCAUAACAAUGAUAUAUCAGAACAAAAAGAGGAAAAAAAAAAAAAUUUGAAAAAUAAAAACAAAAAAGAAAAAAUAGCAAAAAUAGCAAAAAUAGAAGAAAUAGCAAAAAUAGAAGAAAUAGCAAAANNNNNNNNNNGAAAUAGCAAAAAUAGAAGAAAUAGCAAAAAUAGAAGAAAUAGCAAACAUAGAAGAAAUAGAAAAAUAUCGUAACAAAAAUGACACAUGUGGAAACAGUAGCGAAUUAGGAUUAAUAAAAACUAUAGAUGAAAAUAAUAAAGGAAGACG
This 1361-nucleotide long non-coding RNA is filed under the name Piliocolobus tephrosceles (Ugandan red Colobus). RNAcentral's name for it is "lncRNA (ENSPTEG00000010049.1)". Lineage: Eukaryota; Metazoa; Chordata; Mammalia; Primates; Cercopithecidae. The record is from RNAcentral.